GGAGGUGAAUCUGUUGUUUCUGCCGGUUAUGCAAAGCAAUCUUUUCUAUGUUGUGUGUGUGGACUUUGUGAAUGAACGCGUUGACAUUAUUGAUAGUUCUGCUUCGACGGAGGCCACUUCGAAGAAGUAUGGUGACACUCCUGAUAAUAUGCAAUUAUUGUUGUUCGAGUUUUUCAA
This is a long non-coding RNA of Ipomoea nil (Japanese morning glory), 177 nucleotides long. RefSeq lists it as uncharacterized. The record is from RefSeq and is a predicted model, not a curated record. The transcript is spliced from 3 exons. Lineage: Eukaryota; Viridiplantae; Streptophyta; Magnoliopsida; Solanales; Convolvulaceae.